UACGGGGGGGGCAAGCGUUGUUCGGAAUUACUGGGCGUAAAGGGCUCGUAGGCGGCCAACUAAGUCAGACGUGAAAUCCCUCGGCUUAACCGGGGAACUGCGUCUGAUACUGGAUGGCUUGAAUUCGGGAGAGGGAUGCAGAAUUCCAGGUGUAGCGGUGAAAUGCGUAGAUAUCUGGAGGAAUACCGGUGGCGAAGGCGGCAUCCUGGACCGAGAUUGACGCUGAUGAGCGAAAGCUAGGGGAGCAAACGGG
Molecule: ribosomal RNA, 253 nt
Filed under: uncultured bacterium
Lineage: Bacteria
Description: partial 16S ribosomal RNA
Rfam family: Bacterial small subunit ribosomal RNA
Source: RNAcentral